This 1437-nucleotide ribosomal RNA is filed under the name Nocardia seriolae. Its description in RNAcentral is "partial 16S ribosomal RNA". Lineage: Bacteria; Bacillati; Actinomycetota; Actinomycetes; Mycobacteriales; Nocardiaceae. The record is from RNAcentral.
CGGGAGCGUGGCGGCGUGCUUACACAUGCAAGUCGAGCGGUAAGGCCCUUCGGGGUACACGAGCGGCGAACGGGUGAGUAACACGUGGGUGAUCUGCCUUGCACUCUGGGAUAAGCCUGGGAAACUGGGUCUAAUACCGGAUAUGAGCCUGAACUGCAUGGUUCGGGUUGGAAAGAUUUAUCGGUGCGAGAUGGGCCCGCGGCCUAUCAGCUUGUUGGUGAGGUAACGGCUCACCAAGGCGACGACGGGUAGCCGGCCUGAGAGGGCGACCGGCCACACUGGGACUGAGACACGGCCCAGACUCCUACGGGAGGCAGCAGUGGGGAAUAUUGCACAAUGGGCGAAAGCCUGAUGCAGCGACGCCGCGUGAGGGAUGACGGCCUUCGGGUUGUAAACCUCUUUCGACAGGGACGAAGCGCAAGUGACGGUACCUGUAGAARRARSMMCGGCUAACUACGUGCCMRSMRSCGCGGUAAUACGUAGGGUGGCGAGCGUKKYCCGGAAAUGACUGGGCGUAAAGAGCUUGUAGGCGGUCUGUCACGUCGGUCGUGAAAACUCACAGCUCAACUGUGGGCCUGCGGUCGAUACGGGCAGACUAGAGUACUUCAGGGGAGACUGGAAUUCCUGGUGUAGCGGUGAAAUGCGCAGAUAUCAGGAGGAACACCGGUGGCGAAGGCGGGUCUCUGGGAAGUAACUGACGCUGAGAAGCGAAAGCGUGGGUAGCGAACAGGAUUAGAUACCCUGGUAGUCCACGCCGUAAACGGUGGGUACUAGGUGUGGGUUUCCUUCCACGGGAUCCGUGCCGUAGCUAACGCAUUAAGUACCCCGCCUGGGGAGUACGGCCGCAAGGCUAAAACUCAAAGGAAUUKRMCGGGGGGCCCGCACAAGCGGCGGAGCAUGUGGAUUWAAUUUCGAUGCAACGCGARRRMCYUUACCUGGGUUUGACAUACACCGGAAAGCCGGUAGAGAUACGSCCCCCCCYKKKKGUYSGUGUACAGGUGKKGCAUGGCUGUCGUCAGCUCGUGUCGUGAGAUGUUGGGUUAAGUCCCGCAACGAGCGCAACCCUUAUCUUAUGUUGCCAGCGCGUAAUGGCGGGGACUCGUGAGAGACUGCCGGGGUCAACUCGGAGGAAGGUGGGGACGACGUCAAGUCAUCAUGCCCCUUAUGUCCAGGGCUUCACACAUGCUACAAUGGCCGGUACAGAGGGCUGCGAUACCGUGAGGUGGAGCGAAUCCCUUAAAGCCGGUCUCAGUUCGGAUCGGGGUCUGCAACUCGACCCCGUGAAGUUGGAGUCGCUAGUAAUCGCAGAUCAGCAACGCUGCGGUGAAUACGUUCCCGGGCCUUGUACACACCGCCCGUCACGUCAUGAAAGUCGGUAACACCCGAAGCCGGUGGCCUAACCCUUGUGGAGGGAGCCGUCGAAGGUGGAUUGCCAGA